This 301-nucleotide ribosomal RNA is filed under the name uncultured bacterium. RNAcentral's name for it is "partial 16S ribosomal RNA". It matches the Rfam family "Bacterial small subunit ribosomal RNA", at positions 509 to 807 of the family's 1533-position model. The record is from RNAcentral.
CAGUCGCCGCGGGAAUACGUAGGGUGCAAGCGUUAAUCAGAAUUACUGGGCGUAAAGCGUGCGCAGGCGGUUUGUUAAGACGGAUGUGAAAUCCCCGGGCUCAACCUGGGAACUGCAUUCGUGACUGGCAAGCUAGAGUAUGGCAGAGGGGGGUGGAAUUCCACGUGUAGCAGUGAAAUGCGUAGAGAUGUGGAGGAAUACCGAUGGCGAAGGCAGCCCCCUGGGCCAAUACUGACGCUCAUGCACGAAAGCGUGGGGAGCAAACAGGAUUAGAUACCCCCGUAGUCCCUGUCUCUUAUAC